GACGUAGGAGGCGAGCGUUGUCCGGAUUCAUUGGGCGUAAAGAGCACGCAGGCGGUUUGGCAAGUCGGAUGUGAAAACCCGAAGCUCAACUUCGGGCCUGCAUCCGAAACUGCCCGACUAGAGGUAGGUAGGGGAGAUCGGAAUUCCUGGUGUAGCGGUGAAAUGCGGCAGAUAUCAGGAGGAACACCGGUGGCGAAGGCG
This 201-nucleotide ribosomal RNA is filed under the name uncultured bacterium. RNAcentral describes it as "partial 16S ribosomal RNA". It matches the Rfam family "Bacterial small subunit ribosomal RNA", at positions 524 to 723 of the family's 1533-position model. The record is from RNAcentral.